Molecule: ribosomal RNA, 861 nt
Filed under: Triticum aestivum (bread wheat)
Lineage: Eukaryota; Viridiplantae; Streptophyta; Magnoliopsida; Poales; Poaceae
Description: partial small subunit ribosomal RNA
Source: RNAcentral
AUGCGCCGGCAUCGACUUGGGCUGCUUCGACUUCAUCCUCGGUGUCGACUUCUUGCGGACCCUCGGUCCCAUCCUAUGGGACUUCGACGCCCUGAUGAUGACCUUCUGGCGCCAGGGGUACCGCGUCCAGUGGGUGGCGCCUCACCGGCAGCGCCGCAGAUGCAGCUGGCCGCGACUGCUGCAGGGCCCGAGCACCCUUUGUUGGAUCACCUUCUACAACAGCACCGCGACCUCUUCGACGAGCCUCAGGGUCUUCCGCCAGCCCGGGUGUAUGAUCACCGCAUUCAUCUCCUGCCAGGCACGGCGCCGGUGGCGGUGCGCCCCUACCGCUACCCCCAGCUGCAGAAGGACGAGCUGGAGCGGCAGUGCACGCUCAUGCUCGCCUUGGGCAUCAUCCGAAUCUCUACUUCGCCGUUUUCGGCGCCGGUCCUCCUCGUCCGUAAGUCGGACGACACAUGGCGCUUCUGCAUCGGCUACCGUGCCCUUAACGCCCAAACGCUCAAGGACAAAUUUCCUAUUCCGGUCGUCGACGAGCUCCUGGACAAGCUACAUGGGGCGCGCUUCUUCACCAAGCUCGACCUCCGUUCGGGCUACCACCAGGUGCGGAUGCACCCAGACGAUGUCGCAAAAACGGCGUUUCGGACUCAUCACGGCCACUUCGAGUUCUUGGUGAUGCUUUUUGGCCUCUCCAAUGCCCCGGCGUCCUUCCUGGCCUUCAUGAACGACAUCCUCCGCCCCUACUUGCGUCGGUUUGUGCUUGUUUUCUUUGAUGACAUUCUUAUCUACAGCGCCUCGUGGGCGGAGCACCUUCAGCACGUUGCCAUCGUCUUCAACGAGCUUCGAGCGCACCAUCUUCAUCUU